Non-coding RNA from Galeopterus variegatus (Sunda flying lemur), 1470 nucleotides. The record is from the annotation of a RefSeq genome assembly. Lineage: Eukaryota; Metazoa; Chordata; Mammalia; Dermoptera; Cynocephalidae.
AUGCGCAGAGCACCCACAGGACACCAGGCCCUGGGCAGCAGAGAGCCACAGCUGAGCAGCUGGCCUGCAGACGUCCUGAAGCACAUUGGGGACGUGGCCUGUCCUGGAGCCUCCUGGGGUAGGGAGGGGGCCAAGAGGAGGCAGGUGGGUCCAGCCAGGUAGGCACCUGACACCCAGGAGUCCAGCACUGGAUCCCUGCAGAGGGACCAGGCCCUGGGAGAGCCAAGAACAGAGGGGCCUCUGGGGCCUGGUCCCCUGUGUCUGAUGUCAUGGUCACAUGGGGCCUCCUCUCUUGCAGCCAGUAGCACAGCCCCCUCCGUCUUCCCCCUGAUGCCCAGCUGCACAGACACAUCUGGCUCCACAGUGACUCUGGGCUGCCUGGUGAAGGACUAUUUCCCUGAACUGGUGACCGUGUCCUGGAACCAAGGCGCCCUGUCCAGCGGUGUGCGCACCUUCCCGCCUGCCCGGCAGUCCUUGGGGCUCUACUCCCUCAGCAGCAUGGUGACCGUGCCCGCCAGCAGCUGGCCCAGCCAGAGCCUCACAUGCAACGUAGCCCACCCUGCCAGCAGCACCAAGGUGGAUAAGAAGAUUAGUGAGAGGACACCUCACAGGAAGGGACAUCCAGUGGAAGGACCUUCGGUCUUCAUCUUCCCCCCAAAACCCAAGGACACCCUCAUGAUCUCCCUCACCCCUGAGGUCACAUGCGUGGUGGUGGACGUGAGCCAGGACUAUCCCAACGUCGAGAUCAGCUGGUUCGUGGAUGGUGAGCAGGUGCACACGGCCCAGACUUCCAGGGAGGAGCAGUUUAACAGCACGUUACGCGUGGUCAGCGUCCUGCCCAUCCGGCACCAGGACUGGCUGAAGGGCAAGGAAUUCAAGUGCAAGGUCCAGAAUGAUGCCCUCCAAGCGCCCAUCGAGAGAACCAUCUCCAAAGCCAAAGGGCAGGCCCGGAGUCCACAGGUGUACGUCAUGGCCCCACCCCGGGAGGAGAUGACCCAGAGCACUGUCAGCUUGACCUGCCUGGUCAAAAACUUCUACCCCAAUGAAAUCCUCGUCCAGUGGGAGAGUGAGGGAAAGCCAGAGAACAACUACAAGACCACCCCAUCCGUGCUGGACAGCGACGGCACCUACUUCCUCUACAGCAAGCUCACAGUGGGCAAGAGCUCGUGGCUGAGUGGGGCUGGCUUCACAUGCUCUGUCAUGCACGAGGCCCUGCACAACCACUAUGUGCAGAAGCUCGUCCCCCACAAUCCGGCGCUGCAACCAGACGAGAGCUGUGCCGAGGCCCAGGACGGGGAGCUGGACGGGCUGUGGACGACCAUCACCGUCUUCAUCACGCUCUUCCUGCUCAGCGUGUGCUACAGCGCCACCGUCACGGUCUUCAAGGUGAAGUGGAUCUUCUCCUCGGUCAUGGAGCUGAAGCAGACCAUCGUCCCCGACUACAGGAACAUGAUCGGGCAGGGGGCUUAG